AGAUUGAACGCUAGCGGGAUGCUUUACACAUGCAAGUCGAACGGCAGCGCGGACUUCGGUCUGGCGGCGAGUGGCGAACGGGUGAGUAAUAUAUCGGAACGUGCCCAGUAGCGGGGGAUAACUACGCGAAAGCGUGGCUAAUACCGCAUACGCCCGUACGGGGGAAAGGGGGGAUCGCAAGACCUCUCACUAUUGGAGCGGCCGAUAUCAGAUUAGCUAGUUGGUGAGGUAAAGGCUCACCAAGGCGACGAUCUGUAGCUGGUUUGAGAGGACGACCAGCCACACUGGGACUGAGACACGGCCCAGACUCCGUACGGGAGCAGCGAG
RNAcentral lists this ribosomal RNA (327 nucleotides) under uncultured soil bacterium. RNAcentral describes it as "bacterial SSU rRNA". It matches the Rfam family "Bacterial small subunit ribosomal RNA", at positions 26 to 355 of the family's 1533-position model. The record is from RNAcentral.